This 1437-nucleotide long non-coding RNA is filed under the name Calidris pugnax (ruff). RNAcentral's name for it is "lncRNA (ENSCPUG00000014394.1)". The record is from RNAcentral. Lineage: Eukaryota; Metazoa; Chordata; Aves; Charadriiformes; Scolopacidae.
CCGAGACCUUGGUGGAGGGAGGCCUCCUUCCCUCGCGUGGGGCAGAGGAACCCGGCGGUGCCAGCGCUGGAUGUGACACAGCUGGGGAAGCAGGACGUGGAAGGUCAGAAGAAGGCCCAGAGCUGAGAUUUCUCACCUGCUUUUCAUCUGCUGGGCUCUCGGGAUGCUCCUCUCUCUGUAGCCAUCACACGAAGCCCCGAUGCCUCAGCUGGAGCCAAACCCAGCCUGAAAAGACACGAGCGGUGGAGCGAUGGGUACGGACCGGUGCUGGGGGAGGAGGUGAAGGCCACCUACUUCUUCAAAGGACAUUGUCACAUCUGCUCUGCCAGCAGCUGGACUUUUCACCUGAAAAAGCACACUCCUGCUCCUUGUGCUGUCUCUUUUUCCUUCCAAGAUUUCCAAAGGCUAAGAUUUCACCUUGCAGAAAGGGGCUGUAGCCAGUAUUACCCCUGUGGUAGCCAACUUCAGAAGGUGCAUUUGAACCUGGCAGCCGUUUCCCAGGCCAGAGACGGGGGAUAGAAACGUGUGUGGGGAGGAGAGAAUGCCCCAAAUCCGGUACCUUUUCUUUCUUACCCACCACAGAUCGCUCCAGUCUGGCAAAACCACGUUCUUCCACUGGUCUUGGGCACUUGAGCAAAGGGAUCUCCAAGCAAUGGGACAAUUACCAGUCUCCUGAGCCGGGACAUCGGACCCUUUCGUUGUUUUCCACCUUUUGACCUUAAUUCCAUCUCUCAGCCUGGAACCUCAGCGAAGAACUCGGCGUCCUCUGGGCUGGGAUGUGGUGGAUUGAUGGAAGGAGAGAUGGGGCAGCCCCCGGGGGAAGGGGGACAUCGACGUCAAACGUACAAACCCCCCCUUUUUCCUCCUGCCCUGGUUCAACCCAGAGCUCCUGGGGGCCAGGAGGAAGACUCCAGCUGAUAGAAACUCUGAGGGUCUUAAAAACGAAAACAAAAAGAUAAAAAAACCCCACGUUGUCAGACCUUAAUGGAUAUUUUUCAGCACAUUCCCACUGCCUCUAACUAGUUUGCACUAUUUGAAUUUGUCAGCAGUGGGUCUGUGCUGAUAGUACUAGAAAAGCUCGGUAUAGGCGAAAACUCAUCCGCUAAAUAUCUUUCUUCCUUUUUAUUUUAUUUUAUUUUAUUUUAUUUCUUCUGUUUGUUUGUUUGGAAGAUUGUCGCCACAAAGGUUGAAUAAGGCUAAAAGGAGAGAAAAUUACCUUUCUGAUCUCAGCCUCCGGUUCUGUGAACUGGGCAGAACACUGCUGUCUGCUCAGAAAUAUAUAUAUAUUAUAUAUAUAUAUAUAAUUUUUUUUUUUUUUUAUAAAGAAAAGCUAAUGUUUUAACAAGGUUAAGAUGCUAUUGGAAAGGUGGAGAUGGCAGCUAAAAGUGGAAAUGCAGGAAAAAGGUAUUUAAAAGUCUCCCUUCCUUGCGGUCCCUG